Molecule: non-coding RNA, 6248 nt
Organism: Coffea arabica (coffee)
Lineage: Eukaryota; Viridiplantae; Streptophyta; Magnoliopsida; Gentianales; Rubiaceae
Source: RefSeq, a predicted model, not a curated record
ACUCUUUUUCUUUCGUAAUUCCCCUGGUAACCUUCUCCUUCCCUGAAGCAUUCUCAGUAGCCCUUCGCGUUCUUCUUCUUCCUUAUGCAAGCUAUACUCGUGCUUCUCAUUCACCCUCUUUUUCUACCUGCUGCUCUUUUAAGGGUCUUGAAGGAGACAAGUUUCAGCUAGAGAUUUUGUAUGCAGUCACCGAUUUUGGAGUCUCCGACUUGUAGGGUAUCGUUAUCAGAAUGGCCUGCCAAGUUUCGAUGAUGAAUUUUUGAAGCAUGGUUAAAAGAGAAAUUCAGUGCAUUGAUUAUUUUGCAGAGAUUUUAUUUAAAGCUCAAAAGUGCAAGAAUGAUGGCACUUUUUGCGAACCUAGGAUUAAUGUUUCAGUCUGCCUCAAGAUGCUUUCGUGUGAUUGCCUCUUACAGGAGCUUGUCAUUUUCAAGUAAUGGACCUUGCAAUCAGGAUGGUGGAUCAGCUUCUUUUGGAAAUGGGGUUAACCAAGAAUAUUUGGGAAAAUCAGAGGGUAUAUGGCAAGAAGCGGACAGGGUGUGCCAGAUCCUGGAGAGUGGAUCUUGGGGGCCUUCAGUUGAAAAUGCUUUAUCUACGUAUGAUGAAAAACGUCAUUCAGAACUAGUUAUUGGAGUCUUAAGGAGGCUGAAAGAUGUUGAACAAGCACUAAACUAUUUUCGGUGGGUUGAGAAGAAAACUGACGAAGCGCAUUGUCCGGAGGCAUACAAUAGGCUUCUCAUGGUAAUCGUGAAGAGUAAGAGGUUUGAUCAUGUGGAACAAAUUUUGGAAGAGAUGGGUCUUGCUGGGUAUGGCCCAUCCAACAGUACCUGUAUUCAGCUAAUAGAUAGCUAUGUCAAGACUCGAAAAUUAAGGGGAGCAUUUGAUUGUAUUCAGACAAUGAGGAAGUUAAAGUUUCGCCCUGCAUUUUCAGCUUACACUACCCUGAUUGGUGCCCUAUGUACUGUUAAUGAACCUGAUCUUAUGCGGGCACUCUUUCUUCAGAUGCAAGAAUUAGGUUAUGAAGUGAGCGUUCAUUUAUUUACGACUCUUAUACGAGUAUUUGCCAGGGAAGGUCGAGUUGAUGCUGCUCUCUCGCUUUUGGAGGAGAUGAAAAGCAACUCAUUGGAUGCAGACAUUGUUCUCUAUAAUGUGUGUAUAAACUGCUUUGGCAAGGUGGGUAAGGUGGAUAUGGCUUGGAAGUUUUUUCAUGAGAUGCAAGCUAAUGGAUUCGUACCUGAUGAAGUUACAUAUACGAGUAUGAUUGGUGUUCUCUGCAAGGGUAACAGACUGGAUGAAGCUGUGCACCUGUUUGAACAGAUGGAGCAGAAUAGGGCAGUACCAUGCGCAUAUGCUUAUAGCACUAUGAUCAUGGGAUAUGGAUCUGCUGGAAAGUUUGAUGAAGCAUAUAGGUUACUUGAAAGGCAAAGGUUAAAGGGAUCCAUACCAAGUGUAAUUUCAUACAAUUCUCUUCUAACCUGCCUUGGGAAGAAGGGAAAAGUUGAUGACGCAUUAAGGAUCUUUGAGGAGAUGAAAAAAGAUGCAGCACCUAAUCGCACAACUUAUAAUAUCAUCAUUGACAUGCUUUGCAGGGAAGGACAGUACAGAGCUGCUUUAGAUGUUCGAGAUGCCAUGAAAUCUUCAGGCUUGUUUCCCAAUGUAUUGACUGUGAAUAUAAUGAUUGACCGUUUGUGUAAAGCUCAGAAACUUGAUGAAGCUUGUUUUAUUUUUGAAGAAAUGGACCACAAACUUUGUAUGCCAGAUACAAGGACAUUUUGCUCUCUUAUAGAUGGCUUGGGUAGGCAUGGCAGGGUAGAUGAUGCAUACAGGUUAUAUGAGCAGAUGUUAGAUUCUGAUCAGGCUCCUGAUGCUGUUGUUUAUACAUCCUUGAUUAAGAACUUUUUCAGGUCUGGAAGGAAGGAAGAUGGGCACAAGAUUUACAAAGAAAUGGUUUCUGGAGGUGUUGGCCCUGAUCUUUUGCUCCUUAACACCUAUAUGGAUUGUGUUUUCAAAGCUGGUGAGACAGAGAAAGGCAGAGCUUUGUUUCAGGAAAUUAAGAAUCUGGGUUUUACUCCAGAUGUGCGGAGUUAUUCUAUUCUGAUUCAUGGUCUUAUAAAAGCAGGCUUUGCACGCGAAACAUACGAGUUAUUUUAUACAAUGAAGGAAAGAGGGUGUAUUCUUGACACCCUUGCUUAUAACACGGUAAUUGAUGGAUUCUGUAAAUCAGGAAAGGUCAAUAAAGCUUAUCAACUGCUGGAGGAAAUGAAGGUGAAGGGUCAUGAACCUACUGUUGUCACUUAUGGUAGUGUUAUUGAUGGGCUUGCAAAGAUUGACAGGCUUGAUGAAGCUUACAUGCUUUUUGAAGAAGCAAAAUCCAAAGGUGUGGAGUUAAAUGUGGUGGUUUACAGUAGCCUUGUAGAUGGGUUCGGGAAGGUGGGUAGAAUUGAUGAAGCAUAUCUGAUUAUGGAAGAAUUGAUGCAAAAAGGCUUGACGCCGAACACUUAUACUUGGAACUGCUUGAUUGAUGCUCUCGUGAAGGCUGAAGAAGUAGAUGAAGCUCUUGUCUGCUUUAAUUCAAUGAAAAACUUGAAUUGCAGUCCAGACUCAAUAACUUACAGCAUUCUCAUAAAUGGGCUUUGUAGGGUGCAAAAAUUCAAUAAAGCCUUUGUUUUUUGGCAGGAAAUGCAGAAGCAAGGUCUAAAACCCAAACUGAUUACUUAUACCACUAUGAUAUCUGGGCUUGCAAAGGCCGGAAAUAUACUAGAAGCUGAUAAACUCUUUGAAAGGUUCAAGGCAAAUGGAGGUGUACCUGAUUCAGCCUGUUAUAAUACUAUGAUAGAAGGGUUAAGCAUUUCAAAUAGGGCAUUGGAAGCUUACCAACUAUUUGAAGAGACUAGGUUAAGAGGUUGCAACAUAUACACAAAAACAUGUAUUGUUCUUAUGGACUCUCUGCAUAAGGCUGAGUGUCUUGAGCAGGCAGCAAUCGUGGGUGCUAUUCUGCGGGAAACAGCAAAGGCACAGCAUGCAUCUAGAUCAUUGUAACAAUGGAUUGGUUGCUGUUAUUAGCGACUGAUCACAAUCUGAUGUGCAGUUUUUACGUGUUUAUUUCUUUGAAUAGUCAAUUUUCAUUACUGUAAACAAGGCUACAAAAGUGUGGAGUUAGUGGAGCAAAUGCCACAAAAAGAUCAAACUGCCAUAUUCACAGCUGGAAGGAGCAAAAGAGAAGGAACAGAAGUGAAUCAAAGAACUGAGCAUAUUGAUGUCCUCGAGCAUGGAAGUCAGGUACUUGACAACACCUUGGCUUUCAAGUCCACAUUUCCAUGUGACUUUUGUGAACUUCCUCAGGAGGUCCCUUGUUUAAUUACAAAAGCUGAAGAUUUUAAUAUAGGACCAUGAUAGAAAAUUAUUUACAGUUUUCCAUGGACACAAUGUUGACUAAUAGGUGGUUGAGGGAGUAGUCAUGUUCUUUGCUCCUGAGUAAUCACAGCAUUCUGGGUGUAUCCUCUUGUUGUCAAUGGCCAAAGUACUCUUAAGAAAACAUAGGUAAGCUUUCAUUCUUUUCCUUCAAGUAAAUCGUGUUGCUUGUUCUUGAUUGCACUGUCAUAUUGAAUUUUGCAUUUCAAUGGAUAAAUUUGAAUGUGAGAAACAUUUGUUUAGUGUGUCCUGAGAGGAGAGCAAGGAAAAGAAUAGAUGCCAACAUUUGUACCUUUUUUUUUGUAAUGUAUACUUUGAAGAGAUCUAAUUAAUUGCGUUUUUGUGUGUGACAGAUUUUCAAAGACAUUGACAGGUAAUGAGAAACUUUGUGCGGUAUCUACUGAAAACUUUAUGCCAAGAAUCACUUAAAAGACUCGAUGAGUAAUUAUAAUUUGAAAGAAGAAUACUACAGUCUAGACAGUGGGGAAUUGACAUCUGCUCUUCAAUAAAGUUUGCUCAAGUUUGACAGGAAAAGGGAUGGUUGUUUCAGUAUUACAAAAAAUUAACAAGUAAUAUUGUGAAGGUUUUGCUUAUAAAAUUAUGAAGUCAUGGUAGUGAAUGAUUGGAUGCUUGUGAAAGCCAAUUAGAUGUAGAGUUUUCUAAGUUGCAAUAAGAUUGUUUAUGCUUUAUCAGAUACUUUGGUAAGUUUGAAGGUAAGGUCAGAAGCAGAUGACUCUGUCAAAUGGAGAUGAGAGACUACUGAAUUUAUGACUGUUCAAAAGCUGUGUGGUCUUGUCAAAGCAUUUAUAUAUCAACAGCUUAGGAGGAAAGUCUUUAAAAAUGUAGUAUAAAGUGGGAAUGGGGUUGCAAAAGGAUAGUCGUCUCUCAUGUGCCACUCAUGCAUCUUAUUUUUUUUGGCAUUCUUACCAAAUAACGUGUUUCCAGAUUUUUAGGUAUUUGGUGAGAAUUUACUGGGUUCUGGCCUCAAGACAUCAAAAUCUGUCUCUCUCUCCUCCCAAAAAUCAGUCGCAUCAUUUUCUUCUCUUCUUCUUUAGUUCUUCUUCUUCCUAAUUUCUUUUACCCCCUUGAAUCUGAUCUUCUUCUAACCAAUCUACCUAAUCAACAAACGAAGAAGUUUUUUCCUAGAGAUACUUGUACCCACUCCGACUCUCUCUUGAAGAACAGAGGAAAAGCUGCUUAAGCUGAAUUAGGAAGAUGACUAAUCCAUCUCCAUCAUCCGAUCUGAAUAAUUUGUAAAUACAAUCAUGAGAACUGGCAAGGAAGGUAUGAUACUUGAAGCUGAUAAGAUGACUUUGAGUUUGAUUGUAAUAUAAAGUGGAAUAUGGUUGUCCUCUUGGGUGUCGCUCAUGUGACUUCAUAGGUACUUGUGUUCCAAUUUGACAUUACAUUUUCUUUUGCUAGGCAGUGGUUGUUCUUAUGUAUACUUGAAGCUGAUAAAAUGACUUUUGAGUUUGAUUGUAGUAUAAGUGGAAUGAGCUGCUAGAGAAUGGUUGGGUUCUUGGGUGUCGCUCAUGUGACUUCAUAGGCACUUAUGUUCCAAUUUGACAUUACAUUUUCUUUUGCUAGAUAGUGGUUGUACUUAUGCAUAUCUUUAUCUUUAAAGUAUGUUUGAUAAAACUGAAAACUGAAAUCUAAAGUUUGAAUCUAUUACGUUAUUGAAAUUUUAGGUACUAAAUCUGAUAUAUUUGAGUGUGUAUCACAAUAAGUGAUAAAUGAAUAGCCUAUCACUUAUUUUUGGGAGCAAGUUUUGCCUAGAAAAUUCAGUAUCACUUAAAUAAUUCAAAUGUUUUAAUUUUGAUUAUCAAACGCAUCUGAACAUAUUAAGAUUUGAAUUCCAUUAAGUGUGAGUGCUGAAUUGAGUUAUCAAACAAGGCCUUAGAGUCUUUUAUCAUUUAAAUAAGUAUUUCCCAUUGAAAAAGAAAAUAGCAAGUAUGGUUUGGGUUCUUAUUGGUUUGCAUGUUUGAGUUUAUGACCAGGAUGUACAAAUGAGAUUGAGAGGUAGAUGGUACUUGCAGUGUAAUCUACUGCACAAAUUAGACUUGAAGUUGUAGCUGGAUAGAGAUCAAUUGAGAAAUUUUACAAUUCAAAUUAUACAGCAAGAGAAAUUAAUGCUAAUUAUGAAUGUCAGUUGUGUUAAAAGCUGGUGCUGGAGUUUAAAAAAUUAAUCAAUUUGUUAAGUUCCAAGGAUUGAAGAUAAGUAGCAGCAGACAUGAUCAUAAUAAGGGAAUUUGUGAUAUAUAAGCUUUGGAAAGAACACAGAACAGAAGGAUGAACCCCACCUAUUAUGUUUUGGAUAAAUUUUUAAUCCAUUAUUCUAAAUAUUAACUCUGAAAUUGAUCUCUUUAGACAAAUUUAAUGCCUGUUAAUUUUAUUUAGCUAUUCUAUUUUCUAGUUUGCUAUCUUUUUAGUUGCAUCUCUGUUCCUUAAUUAACUUUAGAUAAAAUCGAAUCCAUUAGGAAUGCUCGGGUCCAUGGUGGUCAGAUUAAGGAUCCUUUGCAACAGGUGCUUUUUGGAAUUAAUUUACCUGAAGAAUUAAGCUAGUGGGGCUGGUGAAGCAUCACUGCAGCAAAUCUUAGCAAAUUGUUGCAGAUUUGAUGGCAUGCUCCAGGUUUAGCCAUGCUGAAACUGAACUUUAAUGGAGCUGUAUUUUAUGAAGGAUAGGAACAAUAUACAGUUAGUUCUGACAAGGGAAUUACAACAAAGCCUCCUUGCCCAGACAACUAAUUCCAAGCAAGCUAAAGCUUCCGCAUGGACUGGAGAAUCCACUAAAAUCUUCUUGGAUAACUUAUGAAUUACCUGUUCGCAGGGAUUGAAGAUUA